Molecule: ribosomal RNA, 248 nt
Filed under: uncultured bacterium
Lineage: Bacteria
Description: partial 16S ribosomal RNA
Rfam family: Bacterial small subunit ribosomal RNA
Source: RNAcentral
UAGAUGGCGACCGGCGCACGGGUGAGUAACACGUAUCCAGCCUGCCGAUAACUCGGGGAUAGCCUUUCGAAAGAAAGAUUAAUACCCGAUGGUAUAAUAAAGCCGCAUGGUUUAAUUAUUAAAGAAUUUCGGUUAUCGAUGGGGAUGCGUUCCAUUAGGCAGUUGGUGAGGUAACGGCUCACCAAACCUUCGAUGGAUAGGGGUUCUGAGAGGAAGGUCCCCCACAUUGGAACUGAGACACGGUCCAA